UUGACCUCGGAUCAGGUAGGGAUACCCCG
Molecule: ribosomal RNA, 29 nt
Filed under: Lasiodiplodia theobromae
Lineage: Eukaryota; Fungi; Ascomycota; Dothideomycetes; Botryosphaeriales; Botryosphaeriaceae
Description: partial 28S ribosomal RNA
Source: RNAcentral